GACGAACGCUGGCGGCGUGCUUAACACAUGCAAGUCGAACGGAAAGGCCCUGCUUUUGUGGGGUGCUCGAGUGGCGGACGGGUGAGUAACACGUGAGUAACCUGCCCUUGACUUUGGGAUAACUUCAGGAAACUGGGGCUAAUACCGGAUAGGAGCUCCUGCUGCAUGGUGGGGGUUGGAAAGUUUCGGCGGUUGGGGAUGGACUCGCGGCUUAUCAGCUUGUUGGUGGGGUAGUGGCUUACCAAGGCUUUGACGGGUAGCCGGCCUGAGAGGGUGACCGGCCACAUUGGGACUGAGAUACGGCCCAGACUCCUACGGGAGGCAGCAGUGGGGAAUAUUGCACAAUGGGCGGAAGCCUGAUGCAGCAAUGCCGCGUGCGGGAUGACGGCCUUCGGGUUGUAAACCGCUUUCGCCUGUGACGAAGCGUGAGUGACGGUAAUGGGUAAAGAAGCACCGGCUAACUACGUG
Molecule: ribosomal RNA, 468 nt
Filed under: uncultured bacterium
Lineage: Bacteria
Description: partial 16S ribosomal RNA
Rfam family: Bacterial small subunit ribosomal RNA
Source: RNAcentral